GAUGAACGCUGGCGGCGUGCCUAAUACAUGCAAGUCGAGCGAACAGAUGAGGAGCUUGCUCCUCUGACGUUAGCGGCGGACGGGUGAGUAACACGUGGAUAACCUACCUAUAAGACUGGGAUAACUUCGGGAAACCGGAGCUAAUACCGGAUAAUAUAUUGAACCGCAUGGUUCAAUAGUGAAAGACGGUUUUGCUGUCACUUAUAGAUGGAUCCGCGCCGCAUUAGCUAGUUGGUAAGGUAACGGCUUACCAAGGCAACGAUGCGUAGCCGACCUGAGAGGGUGAUCGGCCACACUGGAACUGAGACACGGUCCAGACUCCUACGGGAGGCAGCAGUAGGGAAUCUCCGCAAAGGGCGAAAGCCUGACGGAGCAACGCCGCGUGAGUGAUGAAGGUCUUCGGAUCGUAAAACUCUGUUAUUAGGGAAGAACAAAUGUGUAAGUAACUAUGCACGUCUUGACGGUACCUAAUCAGAAAGCCACGGCUAACUACGUG
This 496-nucleotide ribosomal RNA is filed under the name uncultured bacterium. RNAcentral's name for it is "partial 16S ribosomal RNA". It matches the Rfam family "Bacterial small subunit ribosomal RNA", at positions 28 to 507 of the family's 1533-position model. The record is from RNAcentral.